RNAcentral lists this ribosomal RNA (500 nucleotides) under uncultured Glomeromycotina. RNAcentral's name for it is "partial small subunit ribosomal RNA". It matches the Rfam family "Eukaryotic small subunit ribosomal RNA", at positions 591 to 1092 of the family's 1831-position model. The record is from RNAcentral. Lineage: Eukaryota; Fungi; Glomeromycota.
CCAAUAGCGUAUAUUAAAGUUGUUGCAGUUAAAAAGCUCGUAGUUGAACUUCGGGAUCAAUUGAUAUGGUCAUGCCUUGGUAUGUACUGUUCAUAUUGGUUCUCACCUUCUAAUGAACCAUAAUGUCAUUUAUUUGUUGUUAUGGGGAAUUAGGACUGUUACCUUGAAAAAAUUAGAGUGUUUAAAGCAGGCUCACGCUUGAAUACAUUAGCUUGGAAUAAUGACAUAGGACAUCGCAUUCUAUUUUGUUGGUUUCUAGGAUCGAUGUAAUGAUUAAUAGGGAUAGUUGGGGGCAUUAGUAUUCAAUUGUCAGAGGUGAAAUUCUUGGAUUUAUUGAAGACUAACUACUGCGAAAGCAUUUGCCAAGGAUGUUUUCAUUAAUCAAGAACGAGAGUUAGGGGAUCGAAGACGAUCAGAUACCGUCGUAGUCUUAACCAUAAACUAUGCCGACUAGGGAUCGGAUGAUGUUGAUUUUUUAAUGACUCAUUCGGCACCUUACG